This 301-nucleotide ribosomal RNA is filed under the name uncultured bacterium. RNAcentral describes it as "partial 16S ribosomal RNA". It matches the Rfam family "Bacterial small subunit ribosomal RNA", at positions 509 to 809 of the family's 1533-position model. The record is from RNAcentral.
CAGUCGCCGCGGUAAUACGAAGGGGGCUAGCGUUGUUCGGAAUUACUGGGCGUAAAGCGCACGUAGGCGGAUAUUUAAGUCAGGGGUGAAAUCCCAGAGCUCAACUCUGGAACUGCCUUUGAUACUGGGUAUCUUGAGUAUGGAAGAGGUGAGUGGAAUUCCGAGUGUAGAGGUGAAAUUCGUAGAUAUUCGGAAGAACACCAGUGGCGAAGGCGGCUCACUGGACUGGUAUUGACGCUGAGGUGCGAAAGCGUGGGGAGCAAACAGGAUUAGAUACCCCGGUAGUCCCUGUCUCUUAUAA